Molecule: ribosomal RNA, 404 nt
Filed under: uncultured prokaryote
Also listed under: 1 other name
Description: bacterial SSU rRNA
Rfam family: Bacterial small subunit ribosomal RNA
Source: RNAcentral
UGGGGAAUAUUGCGCAAUGGAGGAAACUCUGACGCAGCAACGCCGCGUGAAGGAUGAAGGCUUUCGGGUUGUAAACUUCUUUGAUCGGGGACGAAGAUGACGGUACCCGAGGAACAAGCCACGGCUAACUACGUGCCAGCAGCCGCGGUAAUACGUAGGUGGCAAGCGUUGUCCGGAAUUACUGGGUGUAAAGGGAGUGUAGGCGGGGCGGCAAGUCAGAUGUGAAAUCCCGUGGCUUAACUGCGGGGGUGCAUCUGAAACUGUUUUUCUUGAGUGUCGGAGAGGAAAGCGGAAUUCCUAGUGUAGCGGUGAAAUGCGUAGAUAUUAGGAGGAACACCAGUGGCGAAGGCGGCUUUCUGGACGACAACUGACGCUGAGGCGCGAAAGCGUGGGGAGCAAACAGG